GAUGAACGCUGGCGGUGUGCCUAACACAUGCAAGUCGAGCGAACGGACGAGAAGCUUGUGCUCUUGCUGUUAGCGGCGGGCGGGCGGGUGAGACGUGGAUAAGAUACUUAUAUGUCGGGGGUGAUUACGGGAAACAGGUGCCGAUAAUGGAGAAUAUUAUGAACGGCUUGGUUCAAAAGUAAUAGACGGCUUUGCCGACAGUAUUAGAUGGAUCCGCGUUGGAUUAGCUAGUUGGUAAGGUAACGGCUUACCAAGGCGACGAUGCGUAGCUGACCUGAGAGGAUGAUCAGCCACACUGGAACUGAGACACGGUCCAGACUCCUACGGGAGGCAGCAGUGGGGAAUAUUGGACAAUGGGCGCAAGCCUGAUCCAGCCAUACCGCGUGGGUGAAGAAGGCCUUCGGGUUGUAAAGCCCUGUUGUUGGGAAAGAAAAGAAGCAGGUUAAUACCCCGCUGUUCUGACGGUACCUAAAGAAUAAGCACCGGCUAACUUCGUG
Molecule: ribosomal RNA, 497 nt
Filed under: uncultured bacterium
Lineage: Bacteria
Description: partial 16S ribosomal RNA
Rfam family: Bacterial small subunit ribosomal RNA
Source: RNAcentral